Pogoniulus pusillus (Red-fronted tinkerbird) is the source of this 949-nucleotide long non-coding RNA. RefSeq lists it as uncharacterized. The transcript has 2 exons. Lineage: Eukaryota; Metazoa; Chordata; Aves; Piciformes; Lybiidae. The record is from RefSeq and is a predicted model, not a curated record.
CAGGAAAGGCAGCAGCCCUAAGCUGUGCCCAACUGGGCAGAGGGAUCCUGCUCCUGGCAUCACUGGCACCUGCAUGGUCUGAACCUCUGCCUCGUCACACGCAAGGAGCUGCCAUUCACUGGGGAGAGAGAAAAGAAAUGAAAAUCAGAUAUUGGUGGGGGAAAAAAAACACCUCAGGGAGCUGCCAAAGCCUCUCAGGUAAACAAAGAAACCAUCUUGUAAGAGGCCUGAGUCUGCCAAGGGUCUGCCUGUAACCAGGAUACAGAAGAAAGCCCCAGAGAGCCAGCCUUAAGCAAGCAGCCGCCUACAAACGCCUCGCUCGCUUCUCCAAGGGACGUUUCAAGUCCCCAAGCUCACCACUGCCAGGAAUUACACAGCAAAACUAAGAACAGCCUCUUGGCAAAAGCACAUCAGGGCUGUCAGCUGGAUAAUAAGCCUUCCUUUUCAUCAGGUCCUAAGAAGAUGUGAGGCUAUGUCCAGUUUGCGCUGUUAGAUUCCGGUUUUGAGUCUCUAGAGAGAACAAGGCUCUGGUGGAACCCCCAAAGGCUCUGGUGGAGCCCCCAGAUGCUCUAAUGGAACCCCCAAAGGCUCUGGUGGAACCCCCGAGGGCUCUGGUGAAAUCCCAAAGGCAUGUUCCUAAAGAUAUGGGUUGCUUUAAUUGAGCUGAAGCUGGCUCAGGAUUCCAUUUGAGCCUCUCCCCAUCCUUUGUCUUCCGCUGCCGAUGUCGAGACCCUGCCUGCAGAAAGCAAAGGAGGUGAUUAACUCCUGGCAGCUCUGUUGCCUGGAAACGAGAUGCUUCCUGGGGAGAAGCCAUCAGCCCGGCUUCAAAAUGCUGGGGGGGAGGUCUGCAGGUCCAGGGCUUGCAGCCUUACUGGGCUGUGCAAGCCUCAGGCCAGUCAGAGAGGUUCACAGGGAGGCUAAGGAGGGGGAAGGCACAGAAUCACACAAU